CGAACGCUGGCGGCAUGCCUAACACAUGCAAGUCGAACGAACCCUUCGGGGUUAGUGGCGCCCGGGUGCGUAACGCGUGGGAAUCUGCCCUUUGCUUCGGAAUAACUCAGGGAAACUUGUGCUAAUACCGGAUGAUGUCUUCGGACCAAAGAUUUAUCGGCAAGGGAUGAGCCCGCGUAGGAUUAGGUAGUUGGUGGGGUAAAGGCCUACCAAGCCGACGAUCCUUAGCUGGUCUGAGAGGAUGAUCAGCCACACUGGGACUGAGACACGGCCCAGACUCCUACGGGAGGCAGCAGUGGGGAAUAUUGGACAAUGGGCGCAAGCCUGAUCCAGCAAUGCCGCGUGAGUGAUGAAGGCCCUCGGGUCGUAAAGCUCUUUUACCAGGGAUGAUAAUGACAGUACCUGGAGAAUAAGCUCCGGCUAACUCCGUG
Molecule: ribosomal RNA, 431 nt
Filed under: uncultured bacterium
Lineage: Bacteria
Description: partial 16S ribosomal RNA
Rfam family: Bacterial small subunit ribosomal RNA
Source: RNAcentral